GGGUAUAUAGCUCAAGUGGUAGAGUGCAUGCUUAGCAUGCACAAGGUCUUGGGUUGAAUUCCCAGUACCUCCU
RNAcentral lists this transfer RNA (73 nucleotides) under Camelus bactrianus (Bactrian camel). It matches the Rfam family "tRNA". From Rfam's summary of the family: Transfer RNA (tRNA) molecules are approximately 80 nucleotides in length. Their secondary structure includes four short double-helical elements and three loops (D, anti-codon, and T loops). Further hydrogen bonds mediate the characteristic L-shaped molecular structure. tRNAs have two regions of fundamental functional importance: the anti-codon, which is responsible for specific mRNA codon recognition, and the 3' end, to which the tRNAs corresponding amino acid is attached (by aminoacyl-tRNA synthetases). tRNAs cope with the degeneracy of the genetic code in two manners: having more than one tRNA (with a specific anti-codon) for a particular amino acid; and 'wobble' base-pairing, i.e. permitting non-standard base-pairing at the 3rd anti-codon position. RNAcentral also lists the same sequence under 2 other names. The record is from Rfam by way of RNAcentral. Lineage: Eukaryota; Metazoa; Chordata; Mammalia; Artiodactyla; Camelidae.